AUUUAUAUAGUUUAUCUAUCAAAACAUUACACUUUCAUUGUAAAAAUAAAUUAAAUUUUAUAAAUA
Molecule: transfer RNA, 66 nt
Filed under: Polyphaga plancyi
Lineage: Eukaryota; Metazoa; Arthropoda; Insecta; Blattodea; Corydiidae
Description: tRNA-Glu
Source: RNAcentral